UCUGAUUCCGAGUAAACCGAAUGAAUAUGGGUUAGAAUGACCAUCUUCCUGCAAUGAUGUGCAGUUAGUUCUCUGUCUAAUGACUAAUUUUAUUAUUUUUCUUCGUCUUCUAGCUCUGGAUGGUGAUUGCCGUUCUUUUCAUCCAAGUUCGGUUCGAGGAAGGUGAAGGCAUGAGCGUGAACAUCGGCAUCAGCGUGCGGGGAACCACAAGUUCGUUAGGGCGGCUAAUAUCCGCUUCGCGAGUCUCUCGAGCCUCUACAAUAAAUCGAAGAGCGUCACUUACGCGGCAUGCAUCUCCUUUGGUCCACUAAUCGCUGUUGCUGCCGCUGCGGUUCAAUGCAUCGAGCUUCACUACAAAUAACACUACGUACCUGCACUCAAAGUCAGAAGCAAAAAAACAA
RNAcentral lists this unclassified non-coding RNA (401 nucleotides) under Athalia rosae (coleseed sawfly). RNAcentral's name for it is "misc RNA ENSAEAG00005009307.1". The record is from RNAcentral. Lineage: Eukaryota; Metazoa; Arthropoda; Insecta; Hymenoptera; Athaliidae.